UACAGGGGGUGCAAACGUUGCUCGGAAUCAUUGGGCGUAAAGCGCACGUAGGCGGUUCGUUAUGUCGGAUGUGAAAGCCCUUGGCUUAACCGAGGAAGUGCAUCCGAAACUGGCGAGCUAGAGUACGAAAGAGGAUCGCGGAAUUCCCGGUGUAGAGGUGAAAUUCGUAGAUAUCGGGAGGAACACCAGUGGCGAAGGCGGCCCGCUGGGCAGUGGCUGACGCUGAGGCGCGACAGCGUGGGGAGCAAACAGG
This 253-nucleotide ribosomal RNA is filed under the name uncultured bacterium. RNAcentral describes it as "partial 16S ribosomal RNA". It matches the Rfam family "Bacterial small subunit ribosomal RNA", at positions 524 to 776 of the family's 1533-position model. The record is from RNAcentral.